AGGAAUUGGCGGGGGAGCACAGCAACGGGUGGAGCGUGCGGUUUAAUUGGAUUCAACGCCGGAAAACUCACCGGAGGCGACGGUUACAUGAAGGCCAGGCUGAUGACCUUGCCAGAUUUUCCGAAAGGUGGUGCAUGGCCGCCGUCAGUUCGUACCGUAAGGCGUUCUGUUAAGUCAGACAACGAACGAGACCCUCAUCUUUAUUUGCUACUGGUAAGUCCGCUUAUCAGGCACACUAAAGAAACCGCUGGCGAUAAGUCAGAGGAAGGCGAGGGCAACGGUAGGUCAGUAUGCCCUGAAUCCUCCGGGCUACACGCGCGCUACAAAGGCCAGGACAAUGGGCUUCGACACCGAGAGGUGAAGGUAAUCCCGAAACCUGGUCGUAGUUCGGAUCGAGGGUUGAAACUCACCCUCGUGAAGCUGGAAUCCGUAGUAAUCGCAGAUCAACAUCCUGCGGUGAAUAUGCCCCUGCUCCUUGCACACACCGCCCGUCAAACCAUGCGAGUUGGGUCUGAGUGAGGAUGUAAUUCUUGUUACAUUCAAACUUAGGCUUAGUAAGCGGGGUUAAGUCGUAACAAGGUAGCC
RNAcentral lists this ribosomal RNA (585 nucleotides) under uncultured sediment archaeon. RNAcentral describes it as "bacterial SSU rRNA". It matches the Rfam family "Archaeal small subunit ribosomal RNA", at positions 860 to 1448 of the family's 1478-position model. The record is from RNAcentral.